CCCCACCUCCCGAUCAAGCCAUCCAGCCGCCUCUCCUCGCCCUCCUGCCUGCGCGCAUCUCUCUAGAGCUUAAACUCUCCUAGAGAGAUCUCAGGCAGCCCCAAUAACCAACCGCUCGACCCAACUCGUCGUCGUCGUCGUCGCAGAUGGCCGGCCUCAGGAUGAAGCUCGUCGCCGCCGCCGCCGUGGCCGCCGCGCUCGUGGCGUCCGCCGCCGCCCAGGCCCCCGCGCCAGCGCCCACCUCCGACGCCUCGGCCGCGGUGCCCCUCGCGGCGGCGUCCUUCGCCGCCGCCGCCUUCGGCUACCUCUUCUGCUAGAUCCGUCGUCCGGGGAUGCCGUCGUGCUCCCUGGCCGGUCGGGCCUGCUGAUGAUGAUAUGAUUCGUUUUGGCGUGAGUCGAGUCCCCUGUUCGUGGCGCGUGUUGAGGGAUGUCGGUGGGCGUGUGUAUGUACGAGUCGGCGGCGGGUGGAGGUGUGCGCGCGUGUUGGAUACGUGCGUCGACGCGCCACUCUUUGUGGUGGAGAUCAUGUACCCGCUGCGCUUCUGUUUAUCAAUGAGAUGAUUUAUUUGAUUCUUUUCAUCUUAUAUACAAUAUACAUGAGAAUUGCGUAUUCAGUUUGUUGUGUUUUGCUCUGCAAACUUGCGAUGUGCAGAUUGUUGUAAAACACUGUCGAACGAUUCUCCCUCAAUCGAGUUCUUCCGUUGCAAAGAAAAAGAAAACGGUGCAUCUCUCUUAAAAAACGAUUACUAUUCUUACGACCUGAAAAUUAAGGGGUGCAGGCUACAGUUCAAACAUGUAAUUGGAAUCUGAAAUCGAUUUGACCGACUAAGGAACUCACCAUCUGAACUCUAAGCCCUUGUUUACUUCACCCCCAACUCCCAACUUUGGCACUAUGCAAAAAGAAGAUUCCCCAUCACAUCAAACUUGCGGUACAUGCAUGGAGUACUAAAUGUAGAUGAAAUUAAAAACUAAUUGCACAGUUGUUGUACUUUGCGAGAUGAAUCUUUUGAGCCUAAUUAGUCAAUGUUUGGACAAUAAUUCACAAAUACAAACGAAACGCUACAGUGUGCUACAGUGCUAGCACAGUAAUUUUACAUCUCCUAAUUUGACCAGCUAAACAAGGCCUAAGCAAAACGACCGGCAUAACGACUUUCAUUUAUGACCAACCAAUUCAGAAUUGACAAGCUUUAUUUUUCCUACCUCCCUCGAAAAGAAUGCUGUGGCACGGAGUCCUUGUGAAGUUCGUUAGGAGAUGCCGGGCCGGGGUUGCUUAAUCAGUUUGGUGAGGGAUCCGAACGUUGAAAUGAUUGAAGCAUGUUGGCGUCGCCACUUGCCAGCCAAGAAGCCAUGUGCUGCUCGUUAAGCACUGGUCCACAGAUGAGUUGUCUUGGUAGGGGCAGCCGUACCCGCUGUAUCACCGCUGGCAUGCUCCAAGCUGGAAAUGGUGAGCCGUCGCAAUCGCUGCAGUAUUACCCGACUAGUAUGUGCUUUAUGGAAUUGCAGGACUGCUUAAUUUUGACCGUGCUCGUGGAUUUAGAUGCUGGUCGAUGGCUCCAGCUCGAUGCCUUUUCCUACUGUACUGGCUACUGCCGACCGAGAGUCUCAGAGCGUGCAGAAUGCAGGUCGAGUUCCGCAAAGUUGUUGGCGUACACAGCUGGGGAUUGGGCCAGUGCCAGCUCUACACACCACUGGGCCACCUUUGUGUUUUCUCCGGCCUGCUUGAAAAUGUAUUGGGCCAGUUUGUUGGGCCGCUUACUUACAUCUGUGCUCAGCUAAAUCCAGCGAGAACAAUGGAAGAGUUUUUGGCUCUAUACAACAAAUCUUUUGGUUUUUUCCCCCCCUUUCUUUUUCAUCCACAUAAGACACCCACGAUGGCGUUUAUAUUUGUAAGAUAACUGAGUUGCAUUUUUAAGUGCCUCAUUUCUGGAUUAUCGGGCAGCUUCUGAAAGGAAGCUCCAAUUAUAGUAGACGAAGUAGAAGGUUUUUUUUUCGAUUCAAGACCUGGAACGUAGGUAGCUAGAGUCUACGCACUGCAGUUACAUACUGACAAAUUGCAAUGGCGAGUCGGCGACCGACAAGCAGAGGCCAGGCACAGCUGCGUCACAUGAACUCGCUCAUCAUGGCGAGCACCUGCGCCAUCGUGGGCCUCUCCUCCGGCGCCUCGGCGGUGCACAGCACGCCGAUCUUCACCAUCCCCAUCGUCUCCUCCCCUUCGCCGCCUUCCUCGCCGUCGGCGGCCUUGUGGUCCGUCACCACCUCCAGGAGCACCAUCCCGAAGCUGUACACGUCGGACUCCUGCGUCGCCCUCGCGCCCGCGCCCGACGCCAGCUCCGGCGCCGCGUACCCGUGCCACCCGACGCUCGCCGCUGGCGGGGCCGCCGACGACGUCGCGGUCGCCGCCCGGCCCAGGAACAGGUCCGGCGGGCACCGGGCGGCCUGCGGGACGACGGACUGCUGGAUGUUUGUGGCGUAGCGCAUGAGCCCGCACUCGGACACGCACGCGCCGCCGCGCUCGUCCAGGAGGAUGUUGGACGGCUUCACGUUCGCGUGCACAAGCGCCGGCCGCGCCGGGAACGUGUGGAUGUAGUUCAGGCCCUGCGCCGCGCCGAACAGUAUGCUCUUCCUCCCCGCCCAGUCCAGGCUCCUCGCGCCACCACCUGCAGCAACAACAACGGCCCGUCAGGAACACUCGCUUUCUUGCACCGACUGCAAAUUGGCAAUGCAUUUGGGAUUUCAUUAUCUCAUUUCAGCGCGACGACGCACCACUGGCUUGCAGAAGGGACUGGAGGCUCCCGUUGGGGAGGAAGUCGUAGACGAGGAGGCGCUCGCCGUUGGAGUUGCAGUACCCCCUGAGGCUGACGACGUGCCGGUGGCGGAGCCGGCCGACGAGCCGCAUGUGGCGGUCGAACGCCUUGCUCCGGCUGGCGGGGAACUGCAGCGCGCUCAGGCGCUUGACGGCCACCACGAUGCCGUCGUCGAGCACCGCCUUGUAGGUGCUCCCGGACACGCCCUUGCCGAGCACCUCGGCGGACGCCUUGAGGAGGCUCUCCAGCCGCAGCUCCUCGCCGCCCUCGAAGCAGACCAACCCGCCGCUCUUCUGGCACUUGUCGUCCCCGUUCGCCCUCUUCUCUUGCUCCUCGAAGGAGAGUGCCGCGUCGGAGGCGUCCUUCGCCGACCGGAGCUUCCUCCUCAUGUAGACGAACAUGGCCACGGAGAUGGCUAGCGAGACCGUGAUGAGCACUGCGUUGCCAAUGCCGGUGGCCAUGAGUGCAGUCAAGCUAAGCUUACUGAAACCUCCAUUGCUGGAACUGGAAGGCACACUACCACUAACGUUCACUGCAGCACCAGGAGAUUGAGCAGCGAUACUGGUGGUAGCAUUGGAAGAACUAUCCGAUCCUAACGCAUUAUAAGCACGAACACAUCUUGGCAGAGGCGUGCCACAGAGAGCGAGAUUGCCGCCGAAAGUCGACCUCGGGAACCUGGACAGAUCGCCGGAGAUCUCCCCAGCGAGCUUGUUCCCGGACACGUUCAAGCUCCUGAGCGACGGGGCGCGCAGCGCCUCCAGGCCUCCACGGAAGCCAUUGUGCUCCGCUCUAAGCGUGAGCAGAGCACCCAGCGAGAUGUUCAGGCUCCCGGUGAGCCGGUUGCGGGCGACGAGCAGGUGCCGCAGCCACGGGCUCGCCGUGGCGUCGUCCAGCGGGGGGAGGGCGCCGGACAGGGAGUUGUUCCUGACGGCGAGCGCCCUGAUAUGGCUGAGCCGCAGGAGCGGCGCCACCUCGCCGGCCAGCGAGGCGCCGUCGAGGAAGACCCCCACCACCCUGCCCCUGGAGCACCUGAUCCCGAACCACGUGCCGGAGCACGGGUUGGGGCCGUGCCAGGUCGCCAGGGCCGUGGCGUUCGGGUUGUAGGACUUGAAGGAGAGCAGCGCGGGCAGGUCCUGGUGGCCGCCAUUGCCGACCUCUCCGUGCACAGAAGGUACCGAUAGGUGGUAGACGAGGACGGCGAGGAGCAGGAAGGUGGAAUGGUGGAAACGAGGCAUUUUGGUAGCUGUAAGAAUUUUCUUCUGUGUUUGACCGAGAAAUCUAUCCACUCGUUUUAUAGCACGGGCCGGUAACAAUUCAGCGCGGGGAAGUAGAAAAUUUUGAAUGGCGCACGAGCACAAAGGCGUGGAACGACGACGAGCAGAGGGGUCCAAAGAGGAAAGCUGGGUACCUGCGCCGACGUCGUGGGUGGGUGUCGAUGCUGAGGUCGUGGGGAGGAGGGUGGAGGUGAAAAGCGGCGCCAUGGAGGACAGGAGGAGAGGUCCAAGGGGAUGGGGAGCUGACGAGGUGCCCUUUUUCCUCCCUUGGGCAGAAGGAACUUGGACGUAUCUGGUGGGCUGCACGUAGCCGUGAUGGUCGUCGCGCCGGGGAGAUGCUGGUGCUCGCUUCGCUUUACGGAAGCGGCCGAAAGGAAGCAAGAGGGCUCGGGGUUCCACGGCGCGUGGUGGAGUAUCGGGUUCACGAGACGAGACGGGAGUAGCGAGUGGGGACGUUGGCGUCAGGUGGCGCCACGCACCGGUAGGGGAGCAGACAGGAAUGGAUUCCAGCUUCACGUUGCACUAGUCCCCCAGAGUCACAGUGAACCCGGAACACUGAACUGGGUUCAGGUGUCGGGGCAUCUAUUGUUGGGUCCGUUCGUGCUGUGGGCCGAGCCAGGUCUUGCCACCCGAUCCAGCCCAGUAACCGGAGUAGCCAAGAUUUUGUUGGGGCGUCGGGUUCAAACUUCAAAUUGGCAGGUGGAGACGCUUCCAAACGGGUUCAUAGUGAGUCAUUGCUACUGGUACUACGGAGGACUAGGAAGGUUAAUUAUCAUUAUGAACAGUGUUAGUUAGCACCGUCGUCUGAAUGAAAGGUCAUGACAUGCUCGUGAAACCUCGAUUCUAAUGUAUGCGCGCAGUUUUUGGUAUAUCAACUCAGAACUCGACUGGUGGUGUGGUGAGCACAAAAAUGCAUCUUGUUUUUUUUUCCCACUAAGGGCUACGUCCAAAUUUCAUUACUGUUUAGGCAAUGAAAUUACAGAGUAUGAGAGUUGUCGACACCAUGGUCACACCAGAGAUUACAAAAGCAUCUCCAGGAGGACAGGUGCAGACGGCCUUUCCACCUGGGAGGAAUAAAGCGAGCCUACUUAUUACAUGACACAGAACUAACAGCAUGCUAAACAUCUCACAGCCAACCAAACUAGGAACAUUUCUCAACCAGCCUCCAAAGUUGCUUUGAGCAUCACACUGUAUCCAGACUUCCUGGCUUGAUUUGGGACAGCACUUCUUCUCUUUUUUACUGCAGCAGUACCAUCCCUGUGUCGUCGGUUGUUGCUUCACGGGGGUGAAAGUGCAACGCCGUCGCCUUCAUUGCAUCAGCGCCAGCCUCCAGGAUCGUCCUCCCCUCCGGCUUAUGAAGACCUGCUCAAUAUGAAAUGAAAACAGAUGCUGAACAUAUAAUCUCUGAAGGAGAUUUGACCUAUUUUUUAUCAAAGCAAGCAGCAUUUCUAGCUUUCCAGAGUGCCCAGCAGACCGCUGACAGCCCCACCACAUGGAUGUUUUUGUUUUGUGACAUAUACUAUCUAGUCCAUUCCCAAAAUUGGGCAAAGGUAGUUGGUCUACAUGGAGCACCAAUUACCAUGGCAAUAAGGCUCCAUACAUACCUAGCCAAGGCAUAUCCAAAGAAAAGGUGUUUCGAUGUUUUCUUCCAUAUGACAGAAACAACAGCUUUUGUCCCCCUGCCAGUUGCGUUUUAUAAGGUUGUCUUUAGUCAGAAUAGCAUCUUUUUGGAUUAACCACAUAAAGAUUUUUAUCUUCAAAGGGAUUUUGGCUUUCCAAAUAUUGUCAUGAGGACUGGGUAUAGACUACCGCCUCAUCAUCGACACAUCGAACAACGAUGGCAAGGAUGCCAAGUACGAGGCGGUGGUUCAUGAGAAAAACUGGGGAGACCAAAUCACUCUCUUGUCCUUUAAGCGAGCAGACUCUCAGCAACAAUUGGCAUGAGCAUGUUAAUCACUCUCUUGUCCUUUAAGGAUGCCAAUGAUUUGUAGUAGGGUUGCCACCUUGAUUAAUGCUUAUCACUACUUGCUCUACAACUAUUGCAUUUUGUGUUUACUCCAUUUAGCGUCCUUUCGUUACGCCUUGCUUAAUGCUUAUCACUACUUGCUCUACAACUGCUGCAUUUUGUGUUUACUCCAUUUAGCGUCCUUUUGUUAAUCGUUGAAAUGGCGUGGUAGCUGCUGCGUAAUGCGUAUCAUGUAAUUUGGCAUCUCCAAUAUAAAUGGGAUUUUCAGCCUAAAUAAAAUGUGAUUGGGAAAUUUGGCUUCCCACUUUUGUACAUGAUGCAAACGGUCAUAUACAUGCACACACAAUUACAAAUACACGCACGCUAGUUCGAUCUUCAAGUUUAAUAUAGUUUCAGCUGUUCAAACAUUGGAUUGAACAUGACCGAUCCAUUUGAAAGUAGAUUGCUUUCAAACACAAAACGUGGAUUGCGUUAAAUAUUUUUAUUAGACAUAUUAGGAAUGUAAAAGUCAAAUUUAUAAUAAUUUAACCAAACAUUAGUCAAAUUCUAUAAAUCCUCAGUAUAAAAGUUAUAUGGAUGAAUUCAAAUAUGAAAUAUCUUACUUCUAUACAUCUAAUAGUAUAUUGUAAUAGAAACUAUAUCAGUCAAUAUAUAUCUAUAAAUAUUUUCAAAUCAUCAUGUGCCUACUAAAAACAAACAAAGUUAAUGUUAUGGUUGUGAUUUUAUUGCUACAAAUAUUACUAGUAUUAUAAGAGCAUCUGCAGCAGUCUCCCAAUAAAUAUUUCCCAAUAACUAGUUAAUAGGGAUAUUCCAAUAUCACUUUCAUCGUUAUUGGGAGAGUUGCUUUUGCAGUCUCCCAAUAAUUUCAUCCCAAUCCAACUACCGUAUUGAGAGAGUUACAACUCCUUUAUUUAGGGAGAGUUGGGAUGAAUUAUUGGGUUGUCCCAAUAAUUAUUGGGAAAAGGGAAAGUUAAAGGAAGACUGUUGGAACACUAUUUUCUUAUCAACUCUCUCAAUAUGAUAGUUGGAUUGAGGAAAGGGAGAUUGCUAAAGAUGCUCUAAUAAGCUAUGUAUUCAAAACAAAGUGGUCAUGCGGGUAUUAGAGUUGUGAUCCGAAAUAACGGCAGGAAAAUUCUGUUAUCUGCAUGGCGAGUCAUUUUUUAUGCAGUGAGCGUACAGGAAGUGGAGGCAUUGGCAUGCAAAGAAGGGUGGCCCUUGAAGGGAGCCCGCGAUCUUAGAGUUAGACUGCAGUGCGGUCAUUCACUAAAUCAAGGAAGCGAGUAAGAUGAUACUAGCUAGCAUAAUUUUUCACGGUCUAGAAGGCUAAGCGCCUAGCGGAAAGUCUCCCAUGUCUCGUUUUGAGUCAUGUAAAGAGAUAGCAGAACGUAGUCGCACAUGAGCUUGCGAAGCAAAUCGCAAUGUAGUGUGGUGUGAUCAUCCCCCACUUAUAUGAGCAUUUGAUUGCUCAUGCCUGUAAAUUUUUUUUUGAGCAAUCAAUAAAGCGCUCUCUCUUUUUUAAAAAAAAAUUUGCAAAGAAAGAGACUACGAAUCAAAGUUGGAGAAUGUGACGAGUCAAAGCAUAUUGUGAAAUGGAGGCAGCAAAAUCCUAACGCUUCCUGUCGCAUCGACGUUCGAGCUCUGUGUACUUAAUUGAUUGCCACGUAGAAGCCGAAGAGUGCAGCGUCGAUUCAACUGGCGCGCGUCUAGACCCUAUAAAAGGACGGGGUUUCCAAGGCAGCACUGCACCGAUGCUUGCUCUGCACCAGCAAAGGCAGUCAAACUAACAGUACGCCGGGCACCGGAAGAUCGAUCGACCAGGCAUGUCGCCGCCGCCGGAGCAGGACAGGAGGCUUGGCGUCGUCAAGCCGGAGCCCGAUCCCAUGAUCAAGCUCAAGGUGCUGGACAACGAGGGUCGCAGGGUCUUCCACUCCAUGAGGAUGUCCGACAAGCUCCAGGCGGUCAUGGAUGCGUACUACGCGAAGGCGCCCGACGUGACCUACGGCUCCGGGACCUUCAUGUUCGAUGGAUCCAUCCGGCUGCGGGGCAGCGAGACGCCGGCGGAGCACGGUCUGCAAGAUGACGACGUGAUCGACUCCUACGAGGACCUGGUGGGCGGCGGACGGGACGACGCCUGAUGCACCGGACCGGCGGCUGAUCGAUCGAUGGCCGCGCGAGUACGUCGUAGCAGUCGUUUAAUGGAUGUCGUUAUAUUAUCAUUCGCCAGUCAUCACUAGUCUCCAAUUAUUACAAAGACGUAUCAUCUACUAGGAUUCAUCUUUCUACUAUACAUGCAAGGUGGAUCCAAUAUGUUCUCUUGAAACUUUGUUAUUGAUGCAUCUUCACAGUUUACCUGCUGAAUUCAACUGUCAAAACUUUUCUAAGGCCCCGUUUGGAUCAUUGGAAUUGAAUUCCAUCCUAAUAAUCAUAAUUUAGACACAAAUUAAUUAAACUAAUAUAAUUGUAUGUGGAAUAUAGUUGUAUAUUAUAGUUGGUGAUAUGGGAGAGAUACUUGUAUGCUGCACUUCUACUAUAGAGAAGCGAGUCUAAGAGCGUGCUAUAAGAAUUGAAUUCCAUUCUAAUAACCAUAAUCUAUAGAAUCAAUUUCCAUCUCCCACCCCAUGAAUUUAAAAUAGGCUUAUAUCUAAACUUUGGAAAGUUGUGGAAUGCCACAUUCCAACAUAAAUUAGCCUACUCCAUUAAAUAGAUUCCAAUUCCUUGGACCCAAACGGGGCCUAAGCGAAAUGAAGCGUUCGUGGUAUAGCACUUGGAUCAUCCACGGCCCGAUGAUCGAUUGCCCAGGCGGCUGAGAUCUCUUUAGUCGUCUAGAGCUCACGGGGGAAUUCCGAAGAUGCGUUCGGGGCAUUCGAUAGCUUAGCCGCGUCCUGGUACGUCAUGAUUCAUGAACAGUUUGAUCUGGUAAAUUAUGAUUUCAUUGAAGACAUUGCCGUUCCAUUUUCUAUUGAUGAAUUUUUUUAUUAAUCUUCUCGUAAAAAGUUUUUGACGAGGCACUUUAUGCGAUCCAUUGCUUACGAUAUACAUCAAGUUCAACAAAGUGGUUUGGCCUUUUUUUUAGAUAUGCAAAAUAUAAAUCUAUUGAUGCAACUUUGAGACAUGAAAACAUAUAAUUUGACUACUCUUGGAGUAAAACCUACAAAUUAAAGUAUUGACUAUUUGAUACACCCUACGUAAAGAAACAGAGUAAGCAAUGCACGUCAAGCAGACAAAUGAUACGAUCAAGUUCAACAAAUUAAAGUGGUUAGUGGUGAGAAGCAGAUUUUGGUAGGCAUAUACUUCCGUCUCAUCAUCGAUGCGUCGAACAACAAUGGCACGGAUGGCAAGUAUGAGGCGGUGGUGCACGAGAUGGAUUGGGGAGAAAAACUCUCCCUUGAGUCCUUUUAAGUCGGCUAAUUGAUCUACAAUUAGAAUGACCGUCUUAAUGCAAUUAUCCUAAAUAAUGAUGUCAAGGUGUAUUUUCAUGCCUUUGGAUUUUUUUAUGGUUAUAUACAAUUGUCUCAGGAAGCUUGUGCCUCAAGCAUGUCUCUCUCCUAGGAGUAGAUCACUGCCUCACUGGAGACCACAAGAUCAUAGAGCUUCCGACUAAAGUGAGCAGUUUCUUCGAGCUUCUGAGUUCACCAGAAAGAGCGAGGUUGCUACUAAAGGGAGCAGUUUCUUCGAGCUUCUGACUAAAUCGAUCCAAAAUUAUGUCAAACAAUUUCCACUAAAUUACAAGAUAACUAUAUAUUGCAGGAGCUGAUGUGAUAUGAAUCCACUAAAUCACUUCCAAGUUGUAUUUGAACAAACUGUCCAUCGGUUUCCAUCCAUUUCGCCGGAAUACAAGCUCUUAUUAGUAAGGGCUGCAUGCAAGGACUGUCUUAAUUUUUUGCUGUAAGGUAAAACUAGUUGUCAAUUAAUUUCAGGCCAAUCAUUUUCUACUAAAAAUUGCAAGAUACUACUUAAUUUGACACAUCCAAUUAAUAUUUUCCAAAUUGUAUCGAACACCCUGUCCAUCAGCCAUUUGUUGGCAACGUCACGAGGCUAAGUGCUAUUAAAUGCCUCAGUCGUGUCUCCAAUCUUCAGCAAAAACUAUGAACCUGCCAAUCUUGUUAGUACUUCAAUAGACUUCCUCGAUUCUAAAUUAUAGUUCACUUUAGCGUUGUUCUAAACCAAACUAUUCUCUCUGACUAAAUGUAUAGAAAAAUAGAACAAUAUCUACUAUCAGCAUAUUUCUUAGCAGAUUCAAUGAAACUAUAAUUUGACGUUAUAGAUCUUAAUGCCUUUUUUAUGAACUUGAUCAAAGUUAAAGAGAUUUGACUCAGAACAAUACUCGUAUAUACUACUUACAUUUUAAAAGAAGUAUAAAAUAAAGUAGUUAUUGUAAUGAAUGUAAAAUAAGCUUAGAAGAAACCUCAAUGACCAAAUUGGGACUGCAGAAAGUACUUUCUCCACCCUAUUACUGGCUCCGCACGCACAAGAGAAACAAAAGCACGAGCUUGUGGCCAUUAUUCAAACAAUAAAAUUAGCACUAGUCACUUGGAGAGAAACCGGCAAAACAUCCAGAAAUAUACCACACAUAGGGGUGGUAAUGGAUCAUGCCUCCUUCACAAUCCAACUCAACCCUAUUUAUUUUUAGUUCAAAAUCAUAUAUUAUUAUAGCCCGAUACAUAUUGAGCAUGAUCCUUAAAUUUGCUAAGUUAAAUUAGAGGGCCCUUUACCACACCUAACCACGCCACAAGAACAAAAUUCAACAAGCUGUUGGUAACUCGGUACUCUACCGGUUGGAUACAAAACAAUAUUAAAAACUGCUGCUACUAAUAUUCUCUUAAUGAAAUACAUGCACGUUUAUAAAAAAAAUGACUCACAUGACCCUCCUAAACCUAGAGAACAGACUCGAUUGAAACUAAUCGGGAACCUAAUAAUAGUGAGCACAGUCACUGGCAUGUAAAUAAACUAAGUAGAGCUGUAUAUCUAGAUAUUGAGGUAGUUCUUGAUGGACUCCUCGAACUCCUUGACGACGGCUUUCCAUCCGGCAUGGGUCGGGUUGAUGUCGUCCCAGUAGAAGAACUUGUCCGGCUUGGACCCCAGGCUGUACUGCGGCUCACCGUCCUGCACCUGCCCGCAGAACCCGCUCCGGUCGAAGCUCUCGCAGCACGACUCCAGCCUGUACUUGAACUGCUUCGAUCGCGGCGACGGGCCCGCGUAGUGGCUGAAUGCGGCUUUCAGGUCGAGGUUGAAGACGGCCUCGUCCUGGAACACCUUCUCCUCGAGGUACGAGUUGUGGAUGCUCGCCACCUUCUGGCUGUCGCACUUGGCAUCGUAGACGCCGUCCUCGGACCUCGACAGCCACGGCGUGCACCCGAGCGGGGGCAGCGAGGUCACCACCACCUUCUCGACGCCCAGGUCCAUCAGCUGGUCCACGGCGUCGGCGAUCUUGUCCGUCACCUCCUGGGCCUUGGCCUUCACCUCCGUGCUGGUCAUGUCGUUGAAGCGCUCGUAGUCGCGCCUGCCGGAGAAGGCGAUGAGCGCGACGGAGUCCGUGAGGUCCUCGUCGAUGAUGCCGAGCCUGACCAGCCUCUUGAACUUGUCCACCUGCCUGCCGAGCCUGGGCGCGUCGCUCGUCCCCUCCACCACGCCGGCGCCGCCGACGGCGAAGUUCAUGCCGGACGGAUCGACGCCGUCCUGCUUCCUCUUACUCUCCGCCGGAGGGGACUCCUUCCGCCCCAGAAUCCUCGCUGCACAAAUUAUGUAUUGAUGAGACAGGGCCAGGAUUUAGAAUAUUAAGUACUGAUCCGAGCUUAUUAUUACGUACCGAAGAAAUCAGAGAGGACCAAGCCGUUGGAGAAGCGGCCGCUUGGAGUGGCGCCGUGCUCCUUGUCGUUGCUGCCGUACGGGUAGUACCAUGCGCGCGUCGUCUUGGUCAGGUCUGCUAGCGGGAAGUUGCCGGCGUCGGCGAACUCGUCGCCGAACACGAACAGCUUAUACCGCCGGCCCGAGUCGCUGUCGCGAUGGCGUCGGGACUCCACAUGAGCAGCUGCUAACAACAACGUUAAUUAAAGCUCCGAUCCGAGAGCAGAACAAUGCACGACAGCAAGUAAACCACCUGGAGAAAUUAGCAAGAACAAGCAGAACAACACAUACCGUUCAGCAGGAGUAGGAGGCCGCAGACGGCGGCGAAAAGAAGCUUCAUGCUGGCUGGUUCCUUGGAUUUCGAUCGAAGGCGAGUUGCGCGGGGCGCGGGUGUUGAGGUGAGUCAAUUGCUGAGUCGUGGUGCCAGGACGACGGCGAGCGUCGCAAUUUAUACACGGGAGAUCGAGUUCCGAGUCCUACUGGGGGUGGGGGAGGCGCGCUUGUUUGCCCAGUCCGCCGCCGACUGUAACUCGUUUCCAAGCCUAGCUGGUACACUGACGAACAACAAGUCAGAAAGCCGACGAUUCCUGCUCGGAGUUGGCGGGUUGGCGGGCCUUUUCUCUCUAGGAUCUCACCAGGCCUCAAAAUACCCGGGCCAGUACAGCAGAAGAGGCCCAUCGCUACCACCCCAAUACAUGCAUACGACCAGCGUUCACUAAUGGGCCCCAUCCCUGUCUGCACGGACGACGAUAGAAGUUGGCCCGAAAUCAACACGGCUGGGCCUGGGCUGUGCAUCACAGAACCCUUUUUUUCUUUGGCGACGAACAAAACCCCUCGCCACUACUACUUAGCCACGCAUGAUGAUGAUGAAUUUACGUUUGAUGAUUGCUUGUUGAUCAAUCAGUCGAUCGAUCGAUCUGCGGAGUACUCUGACGGAAGGAAAGCUAACCCUCUCCGCCGGCGCCGGCGCCACCGCAAUGUGGUUCACCUCCCGUCGCAAACCCAACGCCGCCGAACCUUCCGAGGAUGCACCGUCGUCCUCCUCGCCACGCAGCUCGCAACCCCGCGGCUACUCCCUCCGCAUCUCAUCCUCCAACCCCUGCCCCCAAACCCAGAGCUCCCGCGACGGAGCCCUAGCCUCCGCCACCUCCUCCUCCGCCGCCGCCUGCGACCUCGGCGGCGGAUGGGGGAACUCCGUAGGCCGCGGCGGCGGCGGCUUCCUGUGGUGGAUCUUCUCCGCCGGAGCGGCGCGCGCGGACGAGGGGAAGCCGGCGGGGGCCGACUGGGACGCGCACGGGCUCCCGGUCACGCGCACACCGGUGCCGCUCUCCAGGCUCGACGGGAGGAAGCGGUACAAGGUCUCCGAGCUCAACUUCCUUGACUGCCGCGCCCGGGACCGCGCCAGCGCCCGGGACCGCGCCAGCGCCGCGGAGAAGAACCCCUUGUUCGACGACAUGGCCAAGCUGCGCCCCGGCGGCGUGUACACCCGGUCGCAGCUGCUCGGGCAGCUCCAGGCGAUGACCUCCUCCGGCAUGUUCGAGCAGGUCAGCCUCCAAGGGAAGCCCAAGCCGGACGGCACGCUCGCGCUCACCGUCACCUACGCCGAGAACAUCUGGCCUGGAGCCACCAAACGGCUCAAGUGCGUCAACGUUGGACUCAUGGCGCCGCCCGACGCUGGCCCUGCUGAGGACAUGACGGCGAGGGAGAAGAUGGAUUACAUCCGGAGGCAGGACCAUGACUACCGGCAGCGAAUCCGCAGCGCCAAGCGGUGCAUUCUACCGGAGUCUGUGCGCGAGGAGGUGCUGGGGAUGGUGAAGAAGCAGGGGAAGUUGACCGCCGGGGUGCUGCAAAGGAUGAGGGACCGCGUCGAGAAGUGGUACCACGACGAGGGCUUUGUGUUCGCCCUGGUGCAGAACUUCGGGAACCUCGACACCGACGAGGUUGUGUUGGAGGUGGUAGAGGGGGACAUCACCAUGGUGGAGUACCAGUUUCAGGACAAGCUUGACAAUAUCGUCGAGGGGAACACUCACAUCGCUGUCGUUGACCGGGAGCUGCCCCAGCAGGUAUGUAUAUAUAUAUAGGCAAUUUUCCUUACUACAUCAACAUCAGUUCCAUGGUUAAUUAACAUGUUCUGUUCGAGAUGUCUAUGGAUGAAUUGUUGUUUAAUGUGCCACGAGUUGAUUGGUUCGAUGUAUUCUAUUACGAUUCUCAAACACAUUUACUCUGACCUGAUAUGCUUUCUUGCAACCAUGUAAUUUACCUUCUGCCUUUCUUACACUGUGCAGCUUCGACCUGGCCAUAUCUAUAACAUUGGGGCAGGGAAACAAGCUCUGAAGCAUAUCAAUUCACUCGCUUUAUUCUCCAAUAUAGAAGUGAACCCUCGCCCUGACGAGACAAAAGAAGGGGGUGUAGUGGUUGAAAUAAAACUCAAGGAACAUGAACCAAAGUCGGCCGAAGUAACUACAGAGUGGAGCAUUGUACCUGUGCAUCAAGGGAGACCAACUCUUGUAAGGCACCACUUAUUUGUAACCUUUUUUCCUUCUUCUCUGCAGAAUCUGUACCUUGAAUGAUAGAAAACAUCAUAAAUAUAUAACCGCCAAUCAUUAUAAAUCCAUGUUUCACAACCCAUCUCACGGAAACUUUCUUUUUAGGCAUCAAUUCAACCUGGAGGAACUGUGUCAUUUGAGCACCGCAACAUCUCUGGUUUAAACAGAUCUCUUGUCGGUUCUGUUACUUCCAGCAACCUGCUCAAUCCUCAGGUGAGUUGGUACUGAGUUCUUUUAUUGAAAACAGAAGCUUUGAUGCAAUGUUGCUUUGGUUUACAAUUACAUCUACAUUCGCUCUGAUCUGCUUGUACUAAAUUAGCUGAAUUGUCACUUAUAACCGUCUCAGUCUUCCUUUGUAACUAUAUGUUUCGAGUCAUAUUUCAAUUAUCAUUAUUACAUGAAGUGUGGAACUCAGUUGAGUGUCUUCUGCAUUGAAAUGUGAAACAUUGCAGACUUUAAUUGCCAUUCUGCUGCAAUCUGAAAUAAGUAAAUAAAAUUAUACCCUUGUUUCAUGAUUUAAAAACAUUUAGUUUAUAAAAUGUACUGGUAUGGUUUACAAGGCAUAUGUUUCAUUUUUAACUGAUCCGUUAUAUUUGUAUUUACGGCAUGUUUCUUUUGGGAUAUCAGGAUCAUCUCUCAUUCAAGCUUGAGUAUGCCCAUCCUUAUUUGGAUGGUGUGGACGACCGUAGUAGAAACCGCACCUUCAAAGCUAGCUGCUUCAACGUCAGGAAAUUAAGUCCUGUCUUUGUUGCUGGCCCCAACAUGGAUGACGCUCCACCUAUCUGGGUUGAUAGAGUUGGAAUUAAAGCCACUAUAACAGAGGUUUGCACAGAUUGAUAUUACCUUCUUCAUCUUUUGAUUUUCAUAAAUAUCUACUCCCAAGAUAUAUUUUUAACAUGAGGAAACUGCAUUUGGAAAUUUUUUCAGAGCUUUACAAGGCAGAGCAAAUUCACUUAUGGCCUCGUGUUGGAAGAGAUUAAAACACGCGAUGAAGAUAACAACAUAUGCACACAUGGUUCUCGAGUAUUGCCUAUUGGUGCAUUGAACAUGGAUGGACCUCCCACAACCUUCAGUGGUACCGGUGUAGAUCGAAUGGCAUUUCUACAAGCUAAUAUAACUCGAGACAAUACUGAGUUUGUAAACGGGGCAACUAUUGGUGACAGAUGUAUAUUCCAGGUGGGGUGUUUUGUUCUCAGUGAAUUUUCAAUUGUUGCUGGGUGUUUAAAACCAAAUUGACUGCACUGUGCCAAAAGGAGAAAGCCAGCUCCUUACACAACUGAUGUUUCUGUUUUCGUAUGAGGCUGCUGCACAAUGCAUAAUGCUGACUGUUUAGGCACAUUUUAGCAAAUGUUAUCAUUACAAUUUUUUUAGAAUCAAGGUAUUCUUGUUUAUGUUAUAAUUGCUUUUCAGUUAUAUUUUAAAUAUCUGGGUUAGUUCUUGUUUAACAGCAUCAUGUGUUUAUAGAAAGUUCUCCAUGGUAAAGUAAAUCCACUUAUAAUUUUCUUGUGGGCCGCAGUUGGACCAAGGUCUUGGCAUUGGAAGCAAAAAUCCAUUCUUCAACCGUCAUCAGCUUUCAGCGACAAAGUUCAUUAAUUUGAAUAAGCAAGAUAAAGGUGCUGGCAAGCCACCACCAGCAAUUUUGGCGAUUCAUGGUCGCUACGCAGGCUGUGUAGGAGAUCUGCCGAGCUAUGAUGCAUUUGCAAUCGGAGGACCUCACUCUGUUAGGGGCUAUGGCAUGGGAGAACUGGGUGCUUCCAGGAAUCUUCUUGAGGUGAGCAUCAAACUAUCGAUCCUCAGGGGGAUUUGGCACUUACUCUGAAUCAUGAUGCAUAGUUGUUAUCGCUGUUCAUGUCGUAGUCGUGGAGGUUUUGCUUUUCUUCGGAUUUGUUUUGAAUCUUAUAUCCAUGCAGUUUGCCACUGAGUUGCGUGUCCCCAUCACUGUGAAGAACAAACAAACGCAGGUGUAUGUAUUUGCUGAGCAUGGCACUGACCUCGGGAGUUCCAAGGACGUGAAGGGCAACCCUACAGAGUUCUUCCGACGCGCAGGCUCUGGGUCCUCCUAUGGCAUUGGUGUCAAGCUCGGCACGGUAAGGGCGGAGUACGCUGUAGAUCACAAUGCUGGUACGGGAGCCUUCUUCCUGAGAUUUGGCGAAAGAUUCUGAAGGCCGCGUCUCUGUCCAGCUUGACGAUCAGAAAGCCCUAUGUAAAUUCGACUGCCAACUUUCUAGAAUAAAAUUAACUCGUGAAGAUAUAACGUCACUGAAUCUUGUAGCAGCAAGGCCCGCGUUAUGAAUGGUUGAGAGUAAAGUCAGAUUCAACUGGAAUAAGAGUUUCGUUUUGAUGGAAGGAUGUCAUUGUACUCUCUUCCUCCGUGGAACUGUACUAGAUGGUAGUCUCGGAGUAUUAUCUUGAACUUGGUAACUAAACCUAUUGAGUGUUAGGAGGAUAAAACUCUUCUCUCAAACUAGAACUUGUGCAUUCACGAUGCAUCCGACAGCUUGCAUCUGUCAGGUGCACGAGAGCACCAGAUGUACUCGGAGCACCCGAUCUUCUCUUACAUCAUUUUUUAAUCUAAAUUGCACAAAUUUGAUAAAUUUGGGCUUUGGGUGAUUUCGAAAUUGCUAUCGCAUUUUCUAGAAUUUAAAAAGUUAUGAUUUAAUCAAAAAUUCAUAACUAACUUAUUUCAAAUCUAAAAAAUAUGAAGUUGGUACAAAAUUUUUCUAAAAAUGUAGGCUAUUUGUUCAUACUCUAUUUGAAAUUGUUUACAUCAUAUUUGUUACUAAACCUAGUGUUAUAUUGUUUUUAAUAAAACACAAGGAACAUGAACAAUCUAGUUUUAAAUAAUGCUAAAUAGUACACCAACAGAUAGUUUACAUUUUUAGAAAAAUUUUGGCACCAAUUUAAUAUUUUUCUGAUUUGAAAUGAAUUAGUUAUGAACUUUUUAAUUAGAUCUAAACUUUUUAAAUUUCUAAAAAAUUGCAAACCACUCCUAAAACUAUCCAAAUGGCUAAAUUUAUCCGGUUUUGACAUAUGAAUGGCCCUCCGUGUCCAGUUUUGUAGUUGUCAGUAUAGACAUGUGUCACAUCACUUUAUUAAUGAAGUAAAAAUUCCUACAAAACCUUCGCUGCAAAUGGCCUUACCGCCUCCCGAUUAUCACCGUUUGUUGUUACCUUUUUCUUUUCCAUUGCUAUGUUUGUCCUCCUCGCCUUUGUGCUCCCCACGUUAGGUGAAUUUUCAAACCUUUAAGGCUAAGAUUGGGAGCCCUUUGUUUUCUCAUUUUUUUAAAACAAAAGAAGAAGAAAAUGAAAAGCGGCUUUACCUGCACAACUGCAGUUUUGGCUAGAAUUUACUCCUAUGUCGAGUAAUUGCUCAUGUAGUGUCGCGGCAUCUUCCAUCGCUUCGACUCCUAUGCAUUAACGCAUGGGAACGCAGCAAUCGGAAAGUUCAGUCUUGAGUGCGGCUGCCUUGGACGGUGCAGGGUGGAGAGCGGGGAGGCUUUGCAUGCAUGGAGUUAAUUAUUAAUGGGCUAAUGGCCGCCUAACCUUCUCCGUUCUGCUUGUGAUAAAACUGAAUCGGCGGCGCAUGCCGGACACCCGUUAUAUAGACCAAACAUGCUUAUGACUAAAAUAAGCUGAAGCUGAAACUAGUAGCCAAACGGUAUACUUUUUUCAGCUUCUUCUGUCUGCGCUUCUCUCCACAGGUUCCAUUUGUUUUCCUAUAUUAGUACAGUUUAUUUGAGAAGCAGCUCCCGCAGCAGUACCGUCGUAACCACACGCCCGGCGGAAAGCCUGGGAAAGCAUAGUACCAGCAAAGGAGUCGCCGGAGCCGCCCGCGAUGACGAAGUACGUCACGCUCUCCGUCCGGGACGAAGAGUACCGCGAGAUCACCCGCACCAUGCGCACGACCGACAAGCUGCACACCCUCAUCGAUUUCUACUACGACAUGGUGCCCGCCGUCGCGUACGGCGAGGGGGCCUUCCUGCACCGCGGCGAGCCGGUCGACAGGAUGAAGACGCCGGCGGACUACGGGAUGCGCGAUAGGGACGAGCUCGCCUUCUCGUCGCAGAUCGACUCGAGCACGUUCCUCACGCUGACCGUGCGGGAAGAGGAAGGGCUCGGGUCCUUCUCCCUCACCUUGCGAACGACCGACCAGCUGCGGGACCUGAUGGACUUCUGCUACGAGAUGGUGCCCACCGUCGACUACGGCGACGGGGUCUUCCUGUUCAACGGCAGGCGGGUUAAAGGCCACCGGACUCCGGAGGAGCUCGGUAUGGUGGAUGGCGAUUGGAUCGGUGUUACUUUCAGAGUUCGUUACUGAACGUCGUCGGGCUGCUUCCGCUGAACCGGCACCGCCCGUAUGUUGCUGCACUUUUCGUUGUGUAAGCAGCUGCUACUUGCGUGCAUCUAAAUUUCACGCAUCUUUUGUUCCAAAAUUUAUCGAUAUCCAUGAAUCGAUCCCUCUCACUCAUCUCACCGUGCUUAUGAUGUACUGAAAUAUGUCAUGGUUACCUAUUCUAGAGUAUCGAGUUUAAAGCCAAAAAAUAUGUAGUAUGUCAAUGUGACUUGAAGUGACAUGAUUCAACACUUUACACAAAAGCAUGGUCGUGCAACUUGAUUGAAUUGAUUCACAUUUUGUGAACAAAAACUAAUUCAACAAUUUCAAUGACCUGAUCUAGCGUUUUGUUAAACUAAUCGAUUCAACAUUUUAUAUCAAACUGUUUAGAAUGUUGAACUAGCGCGCUCAAACUUCUGAACUUCCUACGAUCGGAUCGGCCCAACCACAGCCCUAAACGGUCCGGCCCAGGGCGGCCUCGGUCGGUUGCCCUCUCGCCCAGCACGGGACCAUACCCGGUGCAGCGAAUAGGGUAUCCUCCCGCCGCCGCACUCUCUUCGUCCCGGAUCGAUCCCCAUUCCAUUCCCCACCCGGCUCCAGCACGGAACUUUCCUCUCUCUAGGGUUCCCCCCCUAUCCCCCUCGAGUCUCGACCGUACCAGGUAAAUUACAGGUCCACCCGUCCCGCGUUCGGUCCGAUCCCGUGAUUCGAGCCUUCGCGCAUCGAUCCGGGACUCUUCCGCCCGCAAAUUUCCCCGCGGCGGAGUUUCGCGGCCUCUUUGUAUUUGGGCCAUUCGAGUUGAUUAUUUUGGAGGAUUGAGUGUGCGUUGUUAGAUUUUUUGUGCGACGACUGCGGUGUGUUAAUUGGAGGUUGAAAGAAUUGUAGCUGUUUUGAGGCGGCAAGCGAGUGCUGCAGAAGCAUCACAUCUGCGCCGAGGCAUGGAUAAGGAGCUCUUCGCCAACGACGGCUCCUUCAUGGAGAGGUUCAAGCAGAUGCAGCAGGAGAUGCAGGAGAAGGAGAAGGCCGCUGCUACUGAAGCCUCAUCGGCUCCCAAGCACGGGAGCUCCAAGCCGGGGUUUGCUGUUGCGGCGAACAAGAGGCCGUUCGAGCUGAAGAAGGCUGGUCCAGUCGCCACGGGCGGGAAGCUGGCCUUUAGCCUGAAGAAGGCCAAGGUCGCGGUCGCCCCUAUUUUUGCGGCCGACGAAGAGGAAGAGGAUGUGGAGAGGGAGGAGCCUGCCAAGCGCCACAAGUCUGUGCAAGCUGAUGCUCCUGUGGCAGCUACCCCGGCAGGGGCUGUUGGUAAUCAUUUAUUUAUUAAUUCAUUCAUUCAUUUAUUGCUGUUAUAAUAUAAAAAAUUAUUAGUGGUUUCCCAUUCUUUGGAUUUUUUGUUGGCGUUCUGUGGGUGUAGUUGCUAUCAAAUGAUAAGAUAGAAAUAUGCGACAAGAAUUUUAAUUCAAUAAUUGUCCUAGAACAUCAGCUAUAUAUUGCCUCUUAUCUUUUUUGCUUUUGAAUUCAUUCCCCAUAUAUGUGACAUAUCAUAGGUUUUACUCUUGAGAUGACUUCUAAUUUGGUAUCCCAUACCCCAAUUAAUACCACCGACACAUAUGGUUAUAUUGUCAUUUUUUAAUACAUUUUUCUGUUCCAUGCAUUUGAGGGUGUUAUCCUGAGUCCUGACAGUAUUGCAUUCAUAUUGAUAGUGAAACGAACUAACUAGAUACUUUUUAUUUCAUUUGUCACAUACUGAUUUAACUAGAAAGUAGCACUGCGUUGCAUAUGCAUUUUUAGUGAAAUUAUUACUUGUAGGACUGCUUGGAUGUCAAGUAUAUUUUGGUUUCGUAUGGUUUCUAUAAUAUGUCAUAGCAUAAAAACUUUUAGGUGUUGGUAUACAACUAACAGUGUACAAAUGUAGUAUUCCAACCACCAUGUUAUUUUGGAGUUUAUGAAGGAAACCCAUUAAACACCUCUUUUUCCUAAAAAGUAAACACGAGGCAUGCUACGAUUUCCCUUUCUCACCACAUGCGAAGUAUUUAGCAUUCCUGUCUAAUUUCAUGCAGUACUAUCAGUAAACACAUUCCUAAUGUGACUAAUCUGAAUUGCAUACAUUCAUUUUGGAUUGUUCACAGUAUUACUUUAGCCUUUUUUUAUCUCCAUAUAUAUAAAGUAUUGUUAUAAUUAGCCUACCCCAACUUGCUUGGAACUGAAAGGCUAUGUUGUUGUUGUUGUUAUUGUUAUAAUCAAAGCUAACUGCAUUCAAAUAGGCAAAUAGUAUGUAUGUAUGUAUCAUGCUUUAUUUAGUUUUCCUCUGUUGGAUAGUUCUUCUAUAUACUGUAGAAAAUGGUGGUUUUCACAAUUUAUGUUGUUUCAGUUCCCAUGUAUUAAAAAUAUGGUUUUCAAAAACUCUGCUUUGAAAUGUUCCUGACAUCAAAACACAUCCUUAUAGUAUUGAUUUCAUGCAUUUACAAAUGAUAAAAAUGGAUCUAGAAAGCAACAAAUUGCAAUGCACAUUGGUGUUGGAAUCGACCAUCUAACAGUGUUUAAUAAUUUUUUAAAACUAUCCAAGAAAAUUGCUUGCUGUUGCACAACGUGAUUUAAACCCUCCGUUUAUGCUUGGCUCAUACGUUGUUAGGUUUACAAAAGAAACAUCUUUCUCAGUGUUUGGGUUCAUUAUAAGUCAGGCAGCAGAAAGUCGUGAAGGUUUUGUUUUUUUUUUCCGAUAACUGCAGCUUAUAGAUGAACUGUAUUGGCAUUGCCAGGAAGGAUAUGAUUGAAAGAGUUGGAGACUCUACUGCAGUAAUUUGCAUUGCCUUGUCAAUAUGCUUGAUAUUAAUAGUUCUUUAAGUGACAUGCAGCCCCACCCCCACCAAAUGAUAUGACAGUGAAGCAAGUUGCUGACAAAUUGGCAAGUUUUGUUGCAAAAAAUGGGAGACAAUUUGAGAAUAUCACACGGCAGAGGAAUCCUGGAGAUACACCAUUCAAGUACGACUGCACUACUUAUUUUUCUGAUAAACUCUGUUUUACUUUUAAAUUCUAAAAUCUGACUUUAAUAAAUUAUUGAUAUAAAUCUUGGGUUAUUUGCAGAUUUCUAUUUGACAAACACUGUCCAGACUACAAAUAUUAUGAGUUUCAGCUUGCUGAAGAGGAAAAGGCUCUUGGUCAGUCAAAGGAUGCUGAAGCAUCAAAAAAUGGUUUGUGGCACAAUUUUUUUAAUCAUUUUCUAUAUCUAAAAGUUCUAUAAAAGUCUUGAUGCUAUAUACUCUUGUUAAUGUAGCUAGUUCUAGCACUGCAAGCUUCAAAGCACCAAGUGGUCCGUAUAAAAGCUCAUUUGAACAAAAGUCCAACUAUCAGACACCUGCAUCAGCUUUGUAUGGGGCAUAUGAGGGUAGUUCUUCCCAAGGAAGCUCAUCUAGUUAUGGUAAAAUAUACAUACAUGGUUUCCUUUAUCAAAUGUUAUAUAUCUACAUUCUCUAUGUUCCUGGACUGUUCGCCUGUUUACAUUUGUUUGAGUUUGCAUUUUGCAAGUCAUCCAAAUCAGGCACUUCUAUUGCCUUAGUAUCUUAUUGUUAUUUCUGAUGUCUUGAAUAUUAUGUUUCAUCCUUGUAGCUUCAAUGAAUAGAUAUAUUGUAGGGUUUCUGUUGUGAACCAUUAAAACCCUACUGCCUGUCAUCUCCCUGAUCUAUAGUUUGCUUUAGGAGUAAAAACCAUUGCUUCCUAUCUUGAACUGUUUCUUGUUAUUAUAUGUGCUUAAUGCUAGUUCAUCAUUUUGCAGGUGAUCACAAUACAUCUGCACCGUCAGAUCCUGUAGCUUUGAUGGAAUUCUAUGCGAAGAAGGCUGCACAGGAAGAACGGAAGAGGCCACUAAGACAGUCAAAAGAUGAAAUGCCGCCACCUCCUUCUCUUCAAGGUACAUUUUUUGCAACAUGAUUUGCCGUACUGGAAGAACAUAAAAACUUCAAUAUUUGUUCUACAACUAAAAAUUCUUGUUUUGCAGGUCCUCCUAAGAAGGGACACCACAUGGGUGACUUCAUUCCUCAAGAAGAACUUGAAAAGUUCAUGGCACGCUGUAAUGAUGCUGAAGCACAAAAGGCUACGAAAGAAGCUGCCGAGAAGGCUAAGAUUCAGGCAGACAAUAUUGGCCACAAACUUCUAUCUAAGAUGGGUUGGAGGGAAGGUCAGUCAUUGAUGAAUACUAAAUAACAUAGUCACCAUUACAGUAAUUCUCUGAUCAAACCCUGUCAGAUCUUUUUUUCAAAGUCCCAGAUGUUUAUGGCAACAGUACAUCAACCCCUCUGACCUUGACCGUCAUAUUCAUCCAACAAACCUUAAAAAAUUGUCAAAUUAUGCUGUUAACAAAGCCUUCCAUCCCAAAUACCAGAUAUAAGAACUAUUUACAAUGGAUCCUUUUUCCUCAGCAUUGUCCUGCAUGCAUUAAUUCUCAAUAUCCCUACCCGGUGGAACCUUUUUUGUCAGGCACAUAGGAAGGCAAUUAGCGAUAAUAUGCACCAUUCCACUUCCAGGUGUUAAAUAUAAUUUACUGUGCAGGUGAGGGUCUUGGUAGUGAGAGAAGAGGCCGUGCGGAUCCCAUUAUGGCUGGAGAUGUGAAGAAGGAUCAUCUUGGUGUUGGUGCUGUCAAGCCUGGUGAGGUCACAUCUGAAGAUGACAUCUACGAGCAAUACAAGAAGAGAAUGAUGCUUGGAUACCGCUAUAGGCCAAACCCUCUGGUAUAUUUGCUGCCAUUGUCUACUUCCAGGAGUUGUAUGUUAUUUCUGUUUGCCUAAACACUUCUGCUAUUUUUGCAGAACAAUCCAAGGAAACAAUAUUACUGAUACAGGUUAGUUCAUCUAAGAUGUAAGACACCAAUUUUGCUGUAUUUUUGCUCACAUAACUAACAGCUAGGGAGUAUGACUAACAGCAUUGAAAGUUUUUGUUCAUCAGCAGAAAAACUAAGAAGCUCAUUUAGUCAGCAUAUAUCUUGGAAUGCCACAGAUCUGAGGCUUACGGGGGGUUCAACCGUAGCUUUGUUCUUUGUGUAGUGUUGAUCUUUGUUGCUUUAAAUUCACUUCCAUGGUGAUGUGUUGAAACGUGGAGCAUAGUUUCAUAAUGUGAUGUAUUGCCUUCUUGGAUGACAACAUAUCUUUCCUGAUUAUUCAUCUUUUUGUUGGGAUUUAUUGCCGCAAUAUCAUAUUUCCAUACUGGGAGGCAUAAUCUAAAAGUCUGUUGCAAUGGUUCUAUUUUAUUCUGGAUUCUGGAAUUUGAAUAGCUAUGUGGAACGUGAGUGUCGGUACGGAAGCUAUUACUUACUGGCAGCAUAUAACUUGGCGUUAUUUCUGUAGGAGUUAAAAUUCUGUUAUGCUCUCUGCCACUCUGAUGUGCUGAAUUAAUGGGUUACUUUGAUUGUGAUCUAAGCGCUUAUGGCCUGAUGGGCUAAUCUUAUUACACGGUUUUAUUGCAUAGUUACUUAGAUUGAAAACUAGGUAAUAGUGCUAGAUGAGUGUUAUGGGGAUUAAACUCAUUUCUUGUUUGAUGAAACUAUCUUUAUUCAUUACCUUGCCAAGUUAGGUCUCGUUCGUUUCAUCAGGAUUGGAUUCCAGCCAGGAUUACUUCCAGGUCCGGUUUGAGUGAUUCCACCCGUGUCACUCAAUCCGGCCAGGAUUCAUUCCAGGGGUGAGGAGUUAUGGUUUCAAUCCAGGCCAUCUAAUGUAGUAGGAUUCCAAUCCAGAUCGGUUUUCGUUCCAGGCAAGACUAAAACGAACAACACUUUCAAUGCAAGUCUGGUUUCAAACCGGACCAAUUCAAACCACCCGGAAUGAACCUCAUUCCGGGCCAAUCCGUGAAAACGAACAGGCCUUAGCAAUUUUGGUGUGGCAUGAACUCUCGUGAAACAGACUGACCUUACUGUUAUGCUCUCUGCCUCUCGGUCUCGGAUGUGCUGCAUUAAUGGGUGACGUUGAUUGGAAACCACAGUAAGGGAGACAUAAAUUUAUAUUUUAGGAAAAUAUCGUAAAGUUUGCACAAGCGUAUCUAUUACUCUAUAUUAAUGUUGCUAGACUAGACGAAAUCUCAGAGGCUGAGCUACUGUUCACCGACGCUGGUACGUGGGUCCGAAAUCCAAUCAGUUAUGAAAAAAAAAAAAAGAAGAAGAUUCGAGAGUCCACAGGUCUCGGUCCUCCACGACCACGAAGAAUCGGCGAACUCCAUUUGCCUAGCCGCACCUAUCGCCGUUGGUCCGCUCCGCACGCUGGGGCCGCCGGCUCGCUCCGGCGCCCGCUCCCUCGACCGGCGGAUCGCGCCGCCGCCCGCUCGAGCAGCCGCAUGCGCCGCCCGGUGGGAAUGUGAGAGCACAUCAGCAACCACCGGCGGCCGUCAACACCACUUGAAUCUUGGCAUGGAGAGAGAGAAAGAGAGAACAGAGCUGUGCAGCGCAAAAGUCUGGACAACCAACCGAAUCAGGCCACCGGCGUCGGCUCUGCCAUUGCUUCCACCGAUAGACUUCCAGAGCAGUCUGCCACCGUGGCCUCUCACUACCCUCUCUAGAGCAACCAGCAGCCGUGGCUCCGCGCUCACCGAGCCCAAAAAUGAUGGCCUUCUAGCUGCAGGCAAGACCUCAAUCCGCAGGAAUCAAAUUCACUCUCCAAGUCUUUGUAGCUUUUGUGGAUGGAUGGGGGAGAGAGAGAGAGAGAUUGCCAUGGGGAUGACCGGAUGACUAGAUGAAGGGAUAAAGGGCACAGUGCACUUAAAAAAGAAAGAAAAUAGGCCUUUUAGACGCUUUCCUCACUGGCUUUUUACAAAACAGGAGGGGAUCCCUUACUAAUUACUAUAUUAAGCAAAACAAAGAGAAAGUAUGUACAAAAGAAAAGAUAUUUAGCGAAUGAAAGAAAAAUUACAGCAGAGUAUGCAACCGUCGUACUUCAAUGGGAAAAUAGGAUUUCUUUGCUAAAUAAUGAUUCAGAGCAAAUAAAUGCAUAAAAAUCUCUUUCAUCUAGAGGAACGGCAUGAAUUUGAAUUCUGGUUUCAUUCUGAUUUGUUUCCUAAUUUUGUUCAAUACUCAAUACUAUAAUAUAUACUUAUAGCAAAGUAGAGAGAUUACAUAUGUAACUCUUUCCGUUAUUGCUUUGAGUUAAUAUUUUUGUACAGGCGCGCAUCGCGCGCCAAUCUAUCUAGCAUGGCACUUGGUGAGAUACGAAAGUUGACAAGUAGGGCCCAUUCUUGCCCCCCUUGUCUCACCAUCUCGUAUCUCGCGGCUGGCUCACUUGAACUACCAUGUGCUGGGCACCUGAAGCUGAAAUGCUGAAAGCGAAGCGCCCGCCGCCCGCAGCGAUCAGAGCGCCGGUACAGGAAUCUCUCACGCAGUCACGCUGCUGAUCGCCUCCCUCCCCAGUCCUCACUGAUUGCGCUUUGCCUCUGGCCCGGCCGGGGCCCCGGGCCUCAUGCAUGUCCAGUCACGCCCACCAAACGGAACGCAGCCAUCUUUUUGUAAUAAGCACCAAGUUGGCGGCGUUAACAAUGCGGGAUAAUCCGCUGGAUCAUCAUCGGGGACGCUGGCCUGGUUUGAUGACCUGGACGAAUAUCAUCGAGCUACCAAUCUUGGAAGAGAAGUCUGGAGGCGCAUGCUGUCGGGUGUCAGCCUGUCUCCACCGCUGGCCGCCUCGCUGUCAGCUGUACUGCACUGCACCCGGUCACUCAUUCACUGGCCGGUAGGCAAGCUUGAGGCUCAAGUAGCCGCCAUAAGCCUCCAUUGAGUACUCCUGCCAGCAUCACUGCCCAGACCUCCAGAUUUGUGGAGUGACGGUAGUAGCAGGUUACUUCUGGUAGGAAAUCGAAACCAUUCAGGACCAACGCCUGUCCGCUGGCGACAACGAAAAGCCGUUAUGGCGAGCGAUCGAUCCUGGUCUGGUUACAGUUAAGCGCGCCUCGGGUGUUAGGAUACCCCAUGCUAAAGUUUAGCACAUGUCACAUCGGAUGUUUGAUGCUAAUUAGGAGUAUUAAACAUAGGCUAAUUACAAAACUAAUUGCACAAAUAGAGUCUAAUUCAUAAGACGAAUCUAUUAAGCCUAAUUAGUCCAUGAUUUGACAAUGUAGUGCUACAGUAACUAUUUGCUAAUGAUGGAUUAAUUAGGUUUAAUAGAUUCAUCUCGCGAAAUAGCAUAGGGGUUUUGCAAUUAGUUUUAUAAUUAGUUCAUAUUUAGUCCUCCUAAUUAGCAUCCGAACAUCCGAUGUAACACUGCUAAAGUUUAGCAUCCAGUAUCAAACACCCGUCGUCGGUCUGACUGCUCCGAACGUUGUCGUUCCACCGGCCCCGAGAUCAUUCCCGGCUGCCUCGCAGCUGUGCGCGCGCUGGCGACCGCCUACCGGCCGCCAUGAUACGAGCCGCGCCGCGGACGUCAGGUUCGGCCGCUCGUCUCGUGGCGGCCGGUGGAGACUGGAGAGGUGACCUCGAGACAAACCAAUCCAGGAGGCCGCGGUGGUUGGCCACUCGCGAUCCGACCCGCGCGGGUCCCCCCGUGAAGUUCCCCCUUCGAGAUCGCGAGCCAAAAAUAUCGCAUCCCCGGCCGGCCGGCCCAGCUCCAACCUCCAACAGGAAGCAAAAAAAAAUCAACGGGCUUGUGGCGGUCGCGGUCUCGGGGAUCCGUCGGCCGGAGCGGCCGAACGAUCGCGUGUGGCGGCACGCCGCGCCGGGGACAUGAGGCGUCGGGCCGCGUGGAAGUGGAGGCGUGCGUGCUCAUAAAUGAGCACGCCUAGAAGCGGCCAGGAGUCCAGGACGGCGUGGUCGUCGUGUCACGGGCACUGCGCGCACGCCAGUGCCGUCCAUCACGUACCGUCGGCCGUGCGUUCUCUUUGCAGCGGCACGGUUUGGACACCGGAGGAAGUACGUGACAGGAUUUGGCAUGCGACCACUCGCACCGUACUUUGUAAAAAAGAUCAAGUAGCGUGGCGCAUUUCGGUUCCAGGCUUGGAUUACUCGCCGAGAUAGGCCGGGUGACAAGAUUAGGCUAGCUAGGGUAUGAAUGAGUGGUCGCAUUUUUCACUUUAUGGGUUUUUUAGAUCGCUUCCAGUUCAAAUUAUUCGUGAACCGAUCUAUGGACCGUCGAGAAGUUCAAACUGGAUUCCGAAGUAUUCGAAUCCAAAUCUCGGCGUGGCCGUGACCGUGACCAAACAGCCCAAGUGGGCGAGCUGCUGCUGCUGACCCGGCCGCGCAACCGCCUCCACAUGACCCAUCUCAUCUCAGGCUCUCCGCGGCUGGCACCCCACGUGCCGGCGCUGGCCUGACACCUUGGCGCAUGGGCGCGGCGCCCACCCGGCCAGCUCCGGUUGGGUACACCCGGUCCUUGCUUGACGGUGGAACAAAAACACGGCCGGCCCGGCAGCGUACGCGCUGCUGAUAAAAAGGCUAGCGACCGGGUAAAUUGUCGCGGCAUUUUGUCGGGUUAGACCGGCGCACCGUAGAUCGGUUCAUGGACCCCUGGUGACCUAGCGUCAUAGCUCGUCAUUUAGACAUAGGCAAAAGAAGAUCUUCAUAGAAGAAUGUGUUAGAAAAACGGAAAAACUCCAUCCUUAUUAGUCACUUGGGAAGCGUGCUACGACAAAUAAAAAAGAUGGCAAGCGACAGAUAAAAAGGGACGGAGAGAGUAUACGGUAACAGAGAUGCAUGCUGUUAUGUUUAUUUUACUACACUAUACCUAUCAAGAUCUUUAUAACAUUUUCGGAGUAAUAAAUGUAACCCUUAUUUUCUAGCUACCAGGUGACUCCUAAAUUUCGAACACAUAUUGUUAUAUUGUUGUACAAGGUUCAUUUUGCUCUUAUGAACCUACAUUGCAAAUUACAAUAGGGAUUUAUGUGUGAUUGUAUGACUUACGGACACAUGCACCAAAGAUUAUUCGAGCCAGUGAUGACCGAACUCACUUGGAUGAGAUGCAAGGGGAAAGAUGAAGUUAUGUUUUGGGGAUUACACCAAGUGUCGUUGUACGGACGAUGUAAACGGCUCCGUGCAGUUUUUUUUCUUUGGCACAAAGGCAUCAUUUUGUCAUAGAUAAAAUAAGUGUUUGUUUAAUUCAAGGGUAUGCAGCCUCAACAUUUACCUUGGUUCGUAAGGAUUUUGAUUCAGUUCCAUUCCUGUGAAUGCUUCUUUUUGUUCGAAAAAUUAAAAUGCAGAUAUCGUGCUUAGGAAGAAUACCGGACGGCUGGCAGUAACAAAUCAUACAGUAUUUGCCUUCUAUAAAGGCAGCUGGAGACUGUUCUCCGAAAUAAAUCAUAGCGGCUUAGGAGUGUUUGAUACGAGGCGCUAAACUUCAGCAGGUCAUAUCGGAUGUUUGGAUACUAAUUAUAAAGGUCAAACACGAGCUAAUUACAAAACUAAUUGCACAGAUGGAGUCUAAUUCGCAAGACGAAUCUAUUAAAGCUAAUUAAUCCAUCAUUAGCAAAUAGUUACUGUAGCACCACAUUACCAAAUUAUGAACUAAUUAGACUUAAUAGAUUCAUCUCACGAAUUAGACUCCAUCUGUACAAUUAGUUUUGUAAUUAGACUAUAUUUAAUAAUUUAUAAUUUGUAUUAAACAUGCCAUAUGACAGGUACGGGUAUCCAAACACCUCCUCUCCUUUCCUCUUGGUAUGUUUAGCAGUUACCCCUGGCGAAGCCGUUUCGUCGACGUGCCGUGGUUUAACGGACGGGACGGGGACGGCCGGCUCACGUGAACAACGCCCACGAGGCCGCGCUGGCUCUUGUAAAAGCAACCGCUCCCUCCCUAGACGCUAGUGCCUCUUUCCUCUCUCCUCCGCCCCUUUUUAUCGCCCGAUCUCACACAUUUUGGAAAGAGGAGAGAGAGAGAACGCCCAGCCAAACAGCCAAGGAAACAAACCGCGGCGAGAGGCGGAGGAGAGGGAGGAAGGAGGGCAGAGGACGAGCAAGAUGAGAGAGAUCAUCAGCAUCCACAUCGGCCAGGCCGGGAUCCAGGUCGGAAACGCCUGCUGGGAGCUCUACUGCCUGGAGCACGGCAUCGAGGCCGAUGGCACCAUGCCCAGGUGAGUGACGAUCUCGAUCCGCGAGUGCGUUGCUUUUGGUUCCCCAAAUUUUUUGCUGCGUGCAUCCGCCUCGCGAUCUAGGUUCUCGGCUUGGGCCGCCUCGAAAAUCUGGCGGUCUCGUUGCAUCUCCUCGUUGUUUCCUUCUUCUCGAGAAAUCCUUGCUUCGGCGGAGCCAACGAUGGGCGGGCGGGUGGGUAUGUUAGAUUGGAUGGUACUGUCAUGGCAGUUCCGUGUUCGUGUCUUCCUUUUCGUUCUACUUCUCGUUGCUCCUUGGCUCCUUGUAAUGGGUUUUUUUGGGUGGGAUAUGUUGCGCUUUGUUGGGCGUUGGUACAUUUCUUUGCCGGUUGUUGAGAGAUUCCCAGCACCGGACGAGAUGCGACAUUUCCUAAUUAAGAGUCUGCCCUAGCAUUUUCGGACUAUUAGGCCUUUAAUUUGGUGCGUUUGUUCUGUUCCUACUAAUUAGGCAGGCGUCACAGAGGGGAUGCGUUUGGCUUUUGUAUAGAGGAGCGCACGUUAACAUGUCGUGGGACAAAUUGGGUUUCCAACUCCGUAAGACGCAAGAUCUGAAGAGUUGAAUCUGUGGGGAUGCUCAAUAAAUACUGUAACUGGUUAGCUCUGGUGGAUGUCAGCCCAUGGAUCUCCCUAGAUUCAAAAUAUCUGGUCCAUUGUUAAAAGUGCUAUGCUUAUCUCAGUUUUGCGUAAUCUUGUAGCGCCAUAGAAAAUUGUGCUGAUGCUACUGAGAAUAGAAAUCAUGUUGGGGAUCCUGAGGAGGCAGGUUACGUAGGCUCUAAUUUAUCUUUUGGCGCAUAUGCCAAUGACUCUUGAUUACAUUAACUGAGUUAACUGAUUUAUAAGUUCUUACUGUGCGGUUUUUUUAACGCUGUAUUGUUUGAUUGUGAUGCAGUGAUACCUCGGUUGGCGUUGCACAUGAUGCCUUCAACACUUUCUUCAGCGAGACUGGUUCUGGCAAGCAUGUGCCGAGGGCCAUCUUUGUCGACCUUGAGCCCACUGUCAUUGAUGAGGUGCGCACUGGCUCAUACCGCCAGCUCUUCCACCCAGAGCAGCUCAUCUCCGGGAAGGAGGAUGCGGCUAACAACUUUGCCCGUGGCCACUACACCGGUAAUUCACAUUGUGCCUUUGUGAAUAUGUAAUAGGAGUGAGUCUUGUGCUUCUGCGACUGCGGAUAUGUUCGAUUCUAAUUAUGUUUGUGGAAUGCAGUCGGAAAGGAGAUUGUCGAUCUAUGCCUGGAUCGCGUGCGCAAGCUGGCAGACAAUUGCACUGGGCUGCAGGGAUUCUUGGUGUUCAAUGCUGUUGGUGGUGGUACUGGCUCUGGACUUGGUUCACUGCUGCUGGAGCGCCUCUCAGUUGAUUACGGCAAGAAGUCCAAGCUUGGGUUCACCAUUUAUCCUUCCCCACAGGUAUGGCCUUUCCAAGAGGAGGUUGACUUAAGUAUCUGAGAAAUUGAUAAAAUCAAGUAGGUCUUGAAUCUCUAUUGGGCAAUUUGCUUAGACUUGUAUAUAAUUAAUAUCCUUGCGAACCCAUGCUAAGAUAUGGAUCAUGUAACUUGGCAGCGCUGUUAUUGCCUUCUGAAUUGCACAGAUACACUGGUUAUUGGAUCAGCCUAGCAUUAAUUAAAUCAUGUGUGGACUAAACGAGCAACUGUUGUAGACUUCUGGAGUUCUGGUUAGUGAGGAUCUUCCUUUAUAUGGUUAAGACCAUGAUAGCACAACUGUCACAGGCUACAGGCUUUCUUUAUUAGUGUCCCUAUAAAUCAUGCACUGCACAUGAGCCAACAUUAUCCUAUAGUGCUUCUCCCUCCUGUCCAUUUGAUUGUGGGCCAUUUAGUUUGUUCAUGUGAGUCUGCAUCUUAGCUGUUGUGGGGGACAGUGGGUAGAGAUGUUGUUUAAUGAUUUUGGGUAUGGUCCAUCGUUUAACUUUUCAUCUAAUGCCACUCUGGAUUGCAGGUGUCAACAGCUGUCGUAGAGCCAUACAACAGUGUCCUCUCUACCCACUCCUUGCUUGAGCACACAGAUGUUGCAGUCCUCCUGGACAACGAGGCUAUCUAUGACAUAUGCCGGAGGUCCCUUGACAUUGAAAGGCCAACCUACACCAACUUGAACAGGCUGAUCUCACAGAUCAUAUCUUCGCUUACCACCUCCCUGAGGUUUGAUGGUGCUAUCAACGUGGAUGUUACUGAGUUCCAGACCAACCUUGUUCCAUACCCACGUAUCCAUUUCAUGCUUUCAUCAUAUGCCCCUGUAAUCUCUGCCGAGAAGGCCUACCAUGAGCAGCUCUCUGUGCCUGAAAUCACCAAUGCUGUCUUUGAGCCCUCAAGCAUGAUGGCCAAGUGUGACCCAAGGCAUGGGAAGUACAUGGCUUGCUGCUUGAUGUACCGUGGUGAUGUUGUUCCCAAGGAUGUCAAUGCUGCAGUUGCAACCAUCAAGACCAAGAGAACUGUCCAGUUUGUGGACUGGUAAGCUGUCUCCGUCACAAUUUUAGUUAGUUGCACUUAUUUGAUGAUGUCACAAGCACCUGUCCACUUGAUUGGCCAUGCUAACUAACCAAACUGUGGUGCCGCCAUACAGGUGCCCCACUGGGUUCAAGUGUGGUAUCAACUACCAGCCACCAUCUGUUGUCCCUGGAGGCGACCUGGCAAAGGUCCAGCGUGCAGUGUGCAUGAUCAGCAACAACACUGCCGUCGCCGAGGUGUUCUCACGCAUUGACCACAAGUUCGACCUGAUGUACGCCAAGCGCGCCUUCGUGCACUGGUACGUCGGUGAGGGUAUGGAGGAAGGCGAGUUCUCGGAGGCCCGUGAGGACUUGGCCGCGCUCGAGAAGGACUACGAGGAGGUCGGCGCAGAGGGCGCGGACGACGAAGGUGACGAUGGAGAAGACUAUUGAGUAGCUGGUUAAUAAGUAGUUCGCUGGUGGUUAAUGGUUGGGUUGUUGGGUAUACUCUGUAUGGUUCCAUUCCAUUGCGUACUGCUGCCGUGUGUGUUUCCAUUUUGUAUUAUGUGGUAUAAAUUGUUCGUAGCGCCUGGUUGGCCAUGAUUGUUCAUAUCGUCUUGCUUUGGUUUGCAAUGCUAUUCGAUGAAUUUCGGUGUAUAUCAGUAUAUGGCAUUCUGUUGCAAGUGUUCUGUGCUCUCAACCAUUGGGGAGGAGUUUGAUCUGCCCCGCGGCGUGUUGUCAGGUGGAUAUCAACCAAUGCAGGAUAUGGUUUGCAGGUUGCUCAUAGAUGCCUGAUGCUACGAUCACUGACCAUCAGUCACCAAUGCAUUUGAGGUGGGCAUGGUGUGUCUGAGCUGCUUGAGCCAUACGCUCAGGGUAUGAUGGCAUGUGGAGAUCGCCGUGCUCGUCUGGCACAUCCGGCAAGCGCUGGUCGCGCACAUUCCCCCGGUUUGUCCAGACUUGGUGUCGCGACUCGCGAUGCAAGAGGGAUGAUAGGUGAGACAGCUUGGAAAGUGUUUAGAUCUGUGCACGAGAGCCCCGCGACCUGGUGCCAGUCGAUGUGGGUUGGUUGGUUUGGCAUCUGGUAGGUUUGGUGGCCUCAUGACGCUUUAACUUGGGAUGUCUCGUUCAGGAUCUCAGAAUUAUGAUGUGUCGAAGAAGCGUAAGGCCGGGUAAAAGUUGGAACUCACCCGACGAGCGUGAGUGUGUGACCCUGGAGUUUCAUUAUCGAAAAAAUUAUCUGGCGGACUUCCUGACCCGCCAUGGAUUCAGGCCAGGUAGGCAGCAUCAUUGAAGUACUACCAUCUGGAGUAAGAGUCGGUAGGUUUUCUGCAGAUCAGCAGAUGUGCGUCCCAGUAGCUAUGACUCCACUGGAGCAGAAGCAAACUGAGCCCAACCCGGCAGCCCCAAGAAAAAAGGUUUGGGCUGGGAAAUUGGGUUGCCGGCAAGGCCUUGUUGCGUGACCAGACUCCGGCCCAAAGAGGUGGCAUUACAAUCACCUCCAAAUAACGUAGCUUAGCUGCUCUCCAAAACAAAAAUUAAAAAAAAAUAACGUAGCUUAGCUAGCUUGCUGACUGACGAUGCCAUGGUUACAAAAGAUGCCAUGGUUUGAUUUGAUGACAACAAUGGAGCCGUUGCCGAAGAUGGAUCCACUCGAGCAAGGGCACAGGCCGCCACUCAGUUUUUCUAAUUUCAAUGGGCAUAAAGCUUAUCUAGUAAAGUUAUAAAGGCACACAUUUUUUCCAACUAGAUCCGGCAGCUAUGGUGUCACGGAGGAAUUGCCACAAAGACGAACAUCCAAUGUGUUGGGGGUUGUCGGAUGGGAGAGAAUUUCCCGCAUAUUAUUGGAUGCAUGGACAGAAGUUCCCACCGUUGCGUGAGCGCUGACACUACGAAAACUGACACCGCCCAUGCAGCAACUUGCAUUGCGUUGGUUAGAGCAACUGUUCCGUUCGUUGCCAUUUUGUUCCCUCCUCCGGCAUGUUUAAACUAGCAAAGCAUAAGUAGCCAGGGGGGAUCAACUGCAUCUGCCGCCUGCCGAUAACACGGCCGAGUCACUCACAUGGAGGAGUUCUGAUGCUUUUGCCCACCCUGCUGAUUCCUGAUCCCUGAAUAUUAUCGCGUGUCCAGGAGUUCCGGGACCCAUUGCUCACCUGCUCCGCUAAAAAAAGUUGCAAAAAAAGAAAGAAAAAAU
RNAcentral lists this long non-coding RNA (34421 nucleotides) under Setaria viridis. RNAcentral's name for it is "long non-coding RNA (SVIR_LNC002436)". The record is from RNAcentral. Lineage: Eukaryota; Viridiplantae; Streptophyta; Magnoliopsida; Poales; Poaceae.